RNAcentral lists this ribosomal RNA (253 nucleotides) under uncultured bacterium. RNAcentral's name for it is "partial 16S ribosomal RNA". It matches the Rfam family "Bacterial small subunit ribosomal RNA", at positions 524 to 776 of the family's 1533-position model. The record is from RNAcentral.
UACGUAGGCAGCAAACGUUGUUCGGAGUUACUGGGCGUAAAGAGUGCGUAGGCGGUUCGCUAAGUCUGGUGUGAAAUCUCCCGGCUCAACUGGGAGGGUGCGCUAGAUACUGACGGGCUUGAGUAUGGGAGAGGGAAGCGGAAUUCCUGGUGUAGCGGUGAAAUGCGUAGAUAUCAGGAGGAACACCAGCGGUGUAGACGGCUUCCUGGACCAUUACUGACGCUGAGGCACGAAAGCGUGGGGAGCAAACAGG